GCAGAGGGGUAGGUGGGGCGAGAAUUCCAGCACGCAUCGCUGCGCUGCGAGGAGAAUCACCUGCCACUAGGCGCACUGGCGCGAUAACUCUGCUGCGUGAACGCGACCGAGACUUUGCUAUUUCGAAGUUCAAUAAACGAUAUACCACGUCGAAUGCCAUAUCGUUCUAAAUUUGCAUCGGAGAAUACGACAACGAUGGAUUCAUCCGAAUCUUCUUUUGCCAGGGAUGAUAUGGCGUGCUGCGUUGCUUCCAAUGUGUGAU
This 262-nucleotide long non-coding RNA is filed under the name Neodiprion lecontei (redheaded pine sawfly). RNAcentral describes it as "uncharacterized LOC124292802". The record is from RNAcentral. Lineage: Eukaryota; Metazoa; Arthropoda; Insecta; Hymenoptera; Diprionidae.